GAUGAACGCUGGCGGCGUGCCUAAUACAUGCAAGUCGAGCGAACAGACGAGGAGCUUGCUCCUCUGACGUUAGCGGCGGACGGGUGAGUAACACGUGGAUAACCUACCUAUAAGACUGGGAUAACUUCGGGAAACCGGAGCUAAUACCGGAUAAUAUAUUGAACCGCAUGGUUCAAUAGUGAAAGACGGUUUUGCUGUCACUUAUAGAUGGAUCCGCGCCGCAUUAGCUAGUUGGUAAGGUAACGGCUUACCAAGGCAACGAUGCGUAGCCGACCUGAGAGGGUGAUCGGCCACACUGGAACUGAGACACGGUCCAGACUCCUACGGGAGGCAGCAGUAGGGAAUCUUCCGCAAUGGGCGAAAGCCUGACGGAGCAACGCCGCGUGAGUGAUGAAGGUCUUCGGAUCGUAAAACUCUGUUAUUAGGGAAGAACAAAUGUGUAAGUAACUAUGCACGUCUUGACGGUACCUAAUCUGAAAGCCACGGCUAACUACGUG
RNAcentral lists this ribosomal RNA (497 nucleotides) under uncultured bacterium. Its description in RNAcentral is "partial 16S ribosomal RNA". It matches the Rfam family "Bacterial small subunit ribosomal RNA", at positions 28 to 507 of the family's 1533-position model. The record is from RNAcentral.